This is an RNA transcript of Impatiens glandulifera, 2603 nucleotides long. RefSeq lists it as uncharacterized. The record is from RefSeq and is a predicted model, not a curated record. The transcript has 8 exons. Lineage: Eukaryota; Viridiplantae; Streptophyta; Magnoliopsida; Ericales; Balsaminaceae.
GUUUCUAAGGGUUCAAGCAAAAAUGCAAUUCUCGGCCGUGCCUGAUCCUGAUGAUCGCCGAUCUUUGAGCGAUUCAAUCGCCGAAGGUUUUGGUAGCGAUGAAGACGAAGAUGUUGAAUACGAGGAGAUAGAGGUGGAAGUUGAGGAGGACGAGGAGGAGGAGGAGGAGGUCGAAGAGGAGAUGGAGGUUGAAGAGGAUAUGGAGAUUGAAGAGGAGGAGGAGGUUGAAGAAGAGGAGGAGGAGGAGGUGGAAGAAGAGGAGGAGGAAGAAAUCGAUGAAGAACUGUCAGAUUCACCAAUCGAUCUUAAAGAUGACCAGUUCACGAGGCAUGAAGAAAACUUGAGACCAGAUUCUGUUAAUGCUGAAAUUGCUACAGAAACUGCACCAGUAGCAUACCUUGAACAUGAAAGUUUAAUUGCGAAGCCCGAGACUUCUAGUGUUGAUGAAAUAAGACAAAAGGAGGACCCAUCUGUGAUCAAUAUAAACGGAUGUUCAAAUAUGAAGCAACAUCUUGCUUUUCAAGGAAGUGGACUUCAAACUUUUGCUGGUGAGAACAAGAACUCUGAAGCCAUGCAAGAAAGGGAGGAAUCUAGAGAUGAUACUGUGGAUGAAGGUGUUCAAACUUCUUUAUAUGGGUGUCGUCAGAAUAUGGUUGCCAAUGCCAUUGAUCCCCUUCCCUCUUCUGUUGGAGUAGUGAAUUCUGCGAUCUUUAGGAAUGAAGGUCUUUUUAAAGAGUCUUAUGCCGUUAUGGGCCUUAGUGCAAAAGUCCAGCCAAUGAGUACACACUCAGGAUUGCAAGUUUGCGAGAUAAGGCCUCGAAGUUCAUCACCAGCAGCUGAGUUUAAGGAUGGAAACAAAAGAUCAACUCUACCAUGUGACUUCUUUGCUCUGGGUUGGUGCAUUAAAGGGAGAUUAUGUGCAUUCCGGCAUGUAGAAGAUCAUCCAUAUGCGAUUGAGCAGAAGUCUAAGGGAACUGUUGAGUCCAAUAUGGAUAAAAAAGAAUUGCAGGCUAUUGCUAAUGGAGAUACAAGAGAUGGUUUUGGAAGAUCAGGAUCUUCUGAGUUUUCUAAUGCAGCAGUUCCUCCUGUUGCCCAUGGUUCAUUUAUUUUGGAAAGAAUCCCAUCUAUUGAGCAUGGAGGAAGCACAACACAACACCAAUUUAGUGAAAAUACAUUGUCCUUCCAAAGACAAGAUUCAACUCUUAUGAAAGAUACGACUGGAUUUGUACCAUCAGAUGCAUCUAGAAGCAUGGGGCCUAACUUUCAUAGGAUGAGUACUGUAACACAGUCUGAUUUCCAUUUUAAUCCAUCGGAGUUGAAGGAAUAUAAAAGUACAGUCAACAAUAUUGAUAGCUUUAAAUUGGAAGUACCUCCUUAUAAUUGGGAACCAUCAGUCCCUUUUCAACCAACAUUUUCCAUCACCAGAAGUUUGUUGAGGGGAAGUCUCUAUGAUCCCAUUUGUGACCACGUUGAAAAACAAAUGCUUUCAGGAACUUCUUACAGGCCGGAGAUAACAAUCUCAAAUUCACAUGAGAAUAGAGAUGUUGAUAAUCGAUUUCCAAAUACAGUUGACCCUCAGUCUGGCUCUGAGAGAAAUAUUUCCUCUAAACAUCAUAGUUUCAGUAACAAUCUGUCAAACAAAAACAUCGAUGGGCGGGAGUUGUUCUUGAAUGAAAAAGAGGACACUAGCAGUUCCCAUGCUGGGCCACAAAAAGUUUCUUUUGUUAAAGAUGAGAAAACUUCUGGCAUAUCUAUUAAGGACAAAGGAGGAGACAUGACAUCGAAAGAUGAUACCAAAAGACCUAUUAUUGAAAUGGCCGUUGGUGAGAGGAAAAAUAAUGAUCAGGAGUUAAAAAUCCAGAAAUAUUUCCGAGAAGCACUUGUAGAAUUUACGAAGGAACUGGUUAAGCCAACCUGGCGUGAAGGUCGUCUAACGAAGACUGUUCACAAAGUAAUAGUAAAAUGUACAGUUGAAAAGUUCCUUAGCACAAUAAAAAAAAUUGAAUUUCCUAGAACAGAGGACUCAGUUAAACAAUAUCUUUCUGCACGCCAACCGACAUUGUCAAAGCUUGUUGCGGGAUACAUUAUCAAAUAUGGAAAUUCUUGAGUUCUUGCUCCCUCCUGUACGAUUUUAUAUAAGGCUCCGGGAAGCAGAUAUGGAAGUCAUUAACUAAUCAUGAAGUGGCCUGAAGAAUCAACAUUCUCAGGGUGCAAACUCAGUUUCUGUAGCACAUUUAUCAGGUCAUAAGAAAAUUCAAAAGAGGAAAAAGAGACACAGGAGAAUCUUGCAAGCUCUUCAAGGAUAAGUUGGAAAAUAUGGCUAGAAAUUAAUACUAUCUUGGAGCCAGAACAUUUGGAAUUUUGGAUUGAUUUGAGGUCAAUAUUACAUUUGCUAAUUGGUCUUGGGAGUGUACAAAAAUUGCAAAUAUAUACAUCUAACCUGGGGCACAAUUUUGAGGUACGUCAUUUUUACAUGACUUUUUUUAGUGUUUGUGCGGAUGGACGCUCCAAAGUAGUUAAUAUGUGUUUACAAUGAUGAAUGAGAAGGCAUUAUACGGGACCUAGUGGAAAAAAAAUGAAGCAAAAGUAACAGAUUUCUGAAA